Molecule: ribosomal RNA, 1094 nt
Filed under: uncultured Campylobacterota bacterium
Lineage: Bacteria; Pseudomonadati; Campylobacterota
Description: bacterial SSU rRNA
Rfam family: Bacterial small subunit ribosomal RNA
Source: RNAcentral
GCGUGUCUUAACACAUGUCAAGUCGAACGAGAACGGGUAUUAGUUUACUAAUACUGUCAGCUAAGUGGCGCACGGGUGAGUAAUAUAUAGUUAAUCUGCCUUAGAGAAGAGAAUAAUUGCUGGAAACGGCUUGUAAUGCUCUAUAUGCCUUUAAUACAUAAGUAUGCAAGGGAAACAUUUAUGGCUCUAAGAUGAGACUGUACAGUAUCAGAUAGUUGGUGGGGUAAUGGCCUACCAAGUCAAUGACGCUUAACUGGUUUGAGAGGAUGAUCAGUCACACUGGAACUGAGACACGGUCCAGACUCCUACGGGAGGCAGCAGUGGGGAAUAUUGCACAAUGGACGAAAGUCUGAUGCAGCAACGCCGCGUGGAGGAUGACACAUUUCGGUGCGUAAACUCCUUUUAUAUGAGAAGAUAAUGACGGUAUCAUAUGAAUAAGCACCGGCUAACUUCGUGCCAGCAGCCGCGGUAAUACGAGGGGUGCAAGCGUUACUCGGAAUCACUGGGCGUAAAGAGAAUGUAGGCGGUUAAUUAAGUUAGAAGUGAAAUCCUAUGGCUCAACCAUAGAACUGCUUCUAAAACUGAUUAACUAGAAUAUGGGAGAGGUAGAUGGAAUUUCUGGUGUAGGGGUAAAAUCCGUAGAGAUCAGAAGGAAUACCGAUUGCGAAGGCGAUCUACUGGAACAUUAUUGACGCUCAGAUUCGAAAGCGUGGGGAGCAAACAGGAUUAGAUACCCUGGUAGUCCACGCCCUAAACGAUGUACACUAGUUGUUGCUAUGCUCGACAUAGCAGUAAUGCACCUAACGGAUUAAGUGUACCGCCUGGGGAGUACGGUCGCAAGAUUAAAACUCAAAGGAAUAGACGGGGACCCGCACAAGCGGUGGAGCAUGUGGUUUAAUUCGACGAUACGCGAAGAACCUUACCUGGCCUUGACAUAGAUAGAAUAUAGCAGAGAUGUAAUAGUGCUGGUUUACCAGAGCUAUCAUACAGGUGCUGCACGGCUGUCGUCAGCUCGUGUCGUGAGAUGUUGGGUUAAGUCCCGCAACGAGCGCAACCCACGUGAUUAGUUGCUAACAGUUCGGCUGAGAACUCUA